Erpetoichthys calabaricus (reedfish) is the source of this 267-nucleotide long non-coding RNA. RefSeq lists it as uncharacterized. The record is from RefSeq and is a predicted model, not a curated record. NCBI's taxonomy places the organism in Eukaryota, Metazoa, Chordata, Cladistia, Polypteriformes, Polypteridae. The transcript is spliced from 3 exons.
GAGUUAGAGAUAGUGUUCCUUCAUCCAGGUUACAAAUCAAUGAGACAAGAAGGUCCAGCAAUGCCAGGUUGAGCUGCAGAUGGUGUUCCUUCAUCCAGGUUACAAAUCAAUGAGACAAGAAGGUCCAGCUGUGCCAGGUUGAACUGCAGAUGGUGUUCUUUCAUCCAGGUUACAAAUCAAUGAGACAAGAAGGUCCAGCUAUGCCAGGUUGAGCUGCAGAUGGUGUCCCUUCAUCCAGGUUACAAAUCAAUGAGACAAGAAGGUCCA